UACGAAGGGGGCUAGCGUUGCUCGGAAUCACUGGGCGUAAAGGGUGCGUAGGCGGGUCUUUAAGUCAGGGGUGAAAUCCUGGAGCUCAACUCCAGGACUGCCUUUGAUACUGGGAGUCUCGAGUCCGGGAGAGGUGAGUGGAACUGCGAGUGUAGAGGUGAAAUUCGUAGAUAUUCGCAAGAACACCAGUGGCGAAGGCGGCUCACUGGCCCGGUACUGACGCUGAGGUGCGAAAGCGUGGGGAGCAAACAGG
RNAcentral lists this ribosomal RNA (253 nucleotides) under uncultured bacterium. Its description in RNAcentral is "partial 16S ribosomal RNA". It matches the Rfam family "Bacterial small subunit ribosomal RNA", at positions 524 to 776 of the family's 1533-position model. The record is from RNAcentral.